Molecule: signal recognition particle RNA, 97 nt
Filed under: Melioribacter roseus P3M-2
Lineage: Bacteria; Pseudomonadati; Ignavibacteriota; Ignavibacteria; Ignavibacteriales; Melioribacteraceae
Also listed under: 1 other name
Description: Bacterial small signal recognition particle RNA
Rfam family: Bacterial small signal recognition particle RNA
About the family: The signal recognition particle (SRP) is a universally conserved ribonucleoprotein involved in the co-translational targeting of proteins to membranes. Archaeal SRP consists of a 7S RNA and homologues of the eukaryotic SRP19 and SRP54 proteins.
Source: Rfam by way of RNAcentral
AGCCAAGCCCUGAUUGGCAGGUUAAUACCCAACUCCGCCAGGUCCGGAAGGAAGCAACGGUAAGUAUCUAACCUGGGUGAUCGGCGGCUUGGCUUUU